RNAcentral lists this ribosomal RNA (229 nucleotides) under uncultured bacterium. RNAcentral describes it as "partial 16S ribosomal RNA". It matches the Rfam family "Bacterial small subunit ribosomal RNA", at positions 568 to 796 of the family's 1533-position model. The record is from RNAcentral.
UACGUAGGCGGAAUAUUAAGUCAGUGGUGAAAUCCUGCGGCUCAACCGUAGAACUGCCAUUGAUACUGAUAUUCUUGAAUAUAGUUGAGGUAGGCGGAAUGUGUAAUGUAGCGGUGAAAUGCUUAGAUAUUACACAGAACACCGAUUGCGAAGGCAGCUUACUAAGCUAUGAUUGACGCUGAGGUACGAAAGCGUGGGGAGCGAACAGGAUUAGAUACCCUGGUAGUCC